CCUACGGGUGGCAGCAGUGAGGAAUAUUGGUCAAUGGGCGGAAGCCUGAACCAGCCAAGUAGCGUGCAGGAUGACGGCCCUACGGGUUGUAAACCGCUUUUAUACGGGAAUAACGCGCCUUACGUGUAGGGCUUUGCAUGUACCGUAUGAAUAAGGGCCGGCUAAUUCCGUGCCAGCAGACGCGGUAAUACGGAAGGUCCGGGCGUUAUCCGGAUUUUUUGGGUUUAAAGGGAGCGUAGGCCGCAUGUCAAGCGUGCUGUGAAAUGUGCGGGCCCAACCCGGGCCUGGCAGCGCGAACUGGCGUGCUUGAGUCCGCGGAAAGCAGGCGGAAGUCGUCGUGUAGCGGUGAAAUGCUUAGAUAUGACGAAGAACCCCGAUUGCGAAGGCAGCUUGCUGCAGCGGAACUGACGCUGAUGCUCGAAAGCGCGGGUAUCGAACAGGAUUAGAUACCCGGGUAGUC
RNAcentral lists this ribosomal RNA (460 nucleotides) under uncultured bacterium. Its description in RNAcentral is "partial 16S ribosomal RNA". It matches the Rfam family "Bacterial small subunit ribosomal RNA", at positions 338 to 795 of the family's 1533-position model. The record is from RNAcentral.